Molecule: long non-coding RNA, 163 nt
Filed under: Capra hircus (goat)
Lineage: Eukaryota; Metazoa; Chordata; Mammalia; Artiodactyla; Bovidae
Description: lncRNA (ENSCHIG00010004217.1)
Source: RNAcentral
GAAGGAAGAGGAAAGAGAAGCAGAAGUCGUCGCUUUGAGUCGGGGGAGAGUGUGAGCCAAUAGCUGGUUCCUGGGCAGAGGAUGGAUAGAGAAGAGCAUAUACAGUCCACUUGUUCUGACUCUUGGUGGAUUUAAAGACGAAACCAUCAGUUAUCAGAAGCUC